This 107-nucleotide small nucleolar RNA is filed under the name Brassica oleracea var. oleracea. Its description in RNAcentral is "Plant small nucleolar RNA R71". It matches the Rfam family "Plant small nucleolar RNA R71". From Rfam's summary of the family: R71 is a member of the C/D box family of snoRNAs containing the C (UGAUGA) and D (CUGA) box motifs. The record is from Rfam by way of RNAcentral. Lineage: Eukaryota; Viridiplantae; Streptophyta; Magnoliopsida; Brassicales; Brassicaceae.
UAUCCAUGAUGAGAGCAUUGAGCUUGGUAGCCUUUGAAUCUCUCCCAGGCUUCUCUGAAUCCUUCCAAGCCUUUCUGUUGAAAGCUGGAGAUCUCAUUUCUUAGCUU